UCCCUGGUGGUCUAGUGGUUAUGAGUCUGCACUUCCACUGCAGGGGGCACAGGUUCGAUCCCUGGUCAGGGAA
Molecule: non-coding RNA, 73 nt
Organism: Bos taurus (domestic cattle)
Lineage: Eukaryota; Metazoa; Chordata; Mammalia; Artiodactyla; Bovidae
Source: Rfam